This 274-nucleotide ribosomal RNA is filed under the name uncultured bacterium. RNAcentral's name for it is "partial 16S ribosomal RNA". It matches the Rfam family "Bacterial small subunit ribosomal RNA", at positions 523 to 796 of the family's 1533-position model. The record is from RNAcentral.
CUACGGAGGGUGCAAGCGUUAAUCGGAAUUACUGGGCGUAAAGCGCGCGUAGGCGGUUUGAUCAGUCGGAUGUGAAAGCCCUGGGCUCAACCUGGGAACUGCAUUCGAUACUGUCAGACUAGAAUAUGGUAGAGGGUAGUGGAAUUCCUGGUGUAGCGGUGAAAUGCGUAGAUAUCAGGAGGAACAUCAGUGGCGAAGGCGGCUACCUGGACCAAUAUUGACGCUGAGGUGCGAAAGCGUGGGGAGCAAACGGGAUUAGAAACCCUAGUAGUCC